UAGUAUCUUGUGUCUCAGCUAGUUUUAUUAUUAUUACUGCAGUUUAAAUGGAGGAAUGGUUGGUUUUAUUCGCUCUCCGAGAAGGCGAUUGUAGAAGGGAAACCUGAUCCGUGUCAACUCCACACCCAGUGGCUGAGAGAGCUAAAAGUGAUAUAGAGCCUUGACGGUACGUGACACUUUAGUAGAUAGUCGCAGAUCAUUGAUCUGAAACUUGUUUGAGCUUUGUACACGUAUGAGAAGCCAAAUAACGGUAAAACGUUUGACAUUUUGUUAAAAAAAGCCCAGACUUUUAUUCGUGAAAAGUAUGCGUAUCCAACGAGCAAACGUCUGGUUCUUGUCCUAUCAGUUAGAAAAUUUGAAGUUGUUUUUUUUUUCAUAUUAGCUGUCCUUAUUAGGUGAUCUAGGAGGUUUCAUCUUAACUGAUCUCCAGAUGGUCCCACCUUUGAAAAUAACCUGUCCUGAAAAAAGUUUGUUUCCUUGCGUCUUUGAAGACUAAAAAAACAAAGAACCAGGAUCGUGUACGUAAUCUUGUCUGAAUCUUCGCCAAGUUGGUCCAAAGAGGUGUUCUGAAGGUUUCUUAUCCCAGUUACUAUAAUACAGGGCUGAAGAUUAGCGUUAGCAUAUCACAUAACAAAUGGAACAGGAGAACUUUGCUUGUCAAAUGGUACAGUGAGUAGAAGUUACGUUAAUUGUAACAAAAGAAGUUGCAUUUGUAGCUUUGGUAACUAUCUAGAGCGAAUCUAUAUAGAACUUGUAGAUGUAUUAGAGCGAAGCUAAAGAAGACCCACACAGACGAGCACUCGGUAUCGACCAGAUUUCCACUUUCACCCACCGAGAUUGACCAACCAGCUGAGAGCAUUGCAGAGUACAUACAUGCUCGUGAGAGAAAAUAUGAUGUGAAAGAAUGGGUAUGAGUAAGUCACUGGCUUCUUCUGCGCUUUCUCUUCCUUGUAUUCUGUUUUCCCGUCUAGCGGAAAGCAGAGGCUUUUCUGAACGUUUCCAACACCAACCAUCUUGUUGCAGUCCAAGUUUGUGAAAUAAGUUGUAGACAUGCUAAAAUGAAGGUUCUAUCAAAAAUUUAGAUGUCUAACAAAAUGGUGUAACUGCUACAUAUGUUUUGUUCGCAAACACCCUUCGGAUGUUGCAAGAGUCAGAUCGUAGGUAAAUGCAUUUGUGGAAUGUGAAUGACACACUGUGUGCCAAAUUUGCAGGUUUGGUUAUAUCAAAACCAUGGUUCUUGAUGGGAUUGUAUCUUCACCAUUAAGGAGACACCAGUCUCUAAAGAAGCAGUGGGAAGAUUUGGGCAGCUGCUCCACCGUUAUCAACAGGCAUCGAUAUCUUUUAACAGCUUUGCUUCUUUUGGCCUUCCUUUGCACUGUUUAUCUAUACUUCGCUGUUACUUUAGGUUCUAGACACUCCUCGUGCUAUGGCUUGACCGGGAAAGACAAGGCAGUGUGUCAAUUUCAACAUGUCCAAGCUAUCUCUAAAGGGAAACUCAAAUUCUUCUAGAGUUGUCAUGGAGCCAAAGCUGAAACCCCACCUUAUUCUUAUUGAUCUCCAACAUUAAUUUUUAAAAAUUGAUUGUACAAUGCCAUUUGUGUGUAUUAUUAUUAUUAUUACAUGGUGAAAAAACCUGAGACAUAUCAUAAUUGAAAAGAUCAAAGCAUUUUCUUUUAUGAGAUGAGAGGAUAUAUCUGCAGUGUUUCGAGAAGUUGAUCACCAUGUUUGUAGAGGAUCCAGAGGCUCAACAUUAGGUUUCGGGGAUGUGUUACUAUACGUAGAUGCUGGAGCAGUCGCACCAACGUCCACGGUCUCGUUUAUUUUGAGUUCCAUGGCUUGAUCAUCUUCGUCCUCAAUAUAAAUCUAUUGAGUCAUAAGAAGAAGAGCUACCUCUCUGUUGUGAGAACAGAGUGCUCAGCUCAGAGAGAGAAGCAGGCCAAAGAUACAAUACAUUUGAUGACGUUAGAGCAGAAAAUACUUGCCAUAAUCUUUUUUUUUUUUUUGAAAGAAUUCUAAAUUUAUUCAAACAAAAAAACCUUUUUACAGAAUGUACAGCAUCUCUAUUACAAAAGAUAUGAAAGAACAGAAAAAGCUACUACUACUCCUUGAGCUUCUCCCUAACCAAAUAAUCAUUGUCUUCUCAUGUUUCCCACCCGGUUUCCUUCUUAGCGAUGUGAUUCGGUUUCGCACCAUCUUAUCCAAUCUCACACUUAAACAAGCAGCAGGCUAAGAAGACUCUCCCACCCUCCUCACAUUUCGUUCAUGCCAAAUAGCAUAAACUACCACUUGGACACAAUAUCUCAUCAGAUACAUCAACCCUUUCUCUUGCGAACCAGUCACCACAGCUCAAAUCACUCUAUUCCAUUGAUAAAGAUUUUCACAUUAUUCAUAAUGUAUAAUUCAUCUAAAUGAAAUUACACACAAAAAUCACCAAAAAACGACAUAAAUUAUAUCAUAAACCCAUAAACACAAUUUUCAAAAUCCUUUUUAAUAUUUUAAAAUUUGCAUUGAAUCUUUUUUUUACACUAACCGAGAUAUACACUUCUUUUUAAUAGUAUUUCAGUAAAAAUUUCACCAAAAACGGACAUAAAAUAUACCCGAAAUUCAUAAACACAGUUUUUAAAAUCGUUUUUUAUCUCUCAAUAUUUUCAUUAAUUCUUACCUUUUUAACGUUACCCAUGAUAUAAAAACAUUUAAAUGAUAUUCCAGAAAAAAAUCAUCGAAAACAGACAUAAAAUAUACCUGAAAUCCAUAAACACAGUUUUCAAAAUCGUUUUUAUCUCUCAAUAUUUUCCUCAAUUCUUACUUUUUUAACGUUACCCAUGAUGUAAAAAACAUUUAAAUGAUAUUCCAGAAAAACAAUCAUCGAAAAUGGACAAGAAUCACCUCUUCUUCAAGCUUCAAAAUCAUCAAUGGAGGAUGGGGAAGAUGAGCUUUCACGAUGGGAGAUAAAAGCAUGUGGGCCAAGUAAAAUCUCAUUGGUUAAGGUUAAUAUGUGGGCCAUGGUGGUAGAUGAAUUAUGGUUGGUUAAUUUAAUUGGAGAAAUUAAUGUAUUUAUGAGGUGGAAUAAGAUAUAAUAAACUAAUGAAGGGUUAUAUAUGGAAGCACAAUGAUAAAGGGGGAGUGAGAAUAGAGAGGGGAUAAGGAGAAUCAUUUUUUUUUUCAUAGGGGCAUAUGGAGUUAAAGACCGUUUAUUUUUGCCUUUUUCUCUGUUUCCUAUGGACCCAAACUGUCACUAAAUAAUACUAGUAGUGGGACUCUUCCUUGUCGUUUUCCUUUGUCGGGAAACUGAAAUUUUAUGAUUGGGUUUAGGGAGAUUUGAUUAUUAGCGGGAACCGUGUUUGAAAAACCGAGUAAAAUAAACAGAAUUACCUUACCGUUUGGUUUGGUACAACUUCGGUUUCGGCGAUUCAAAAGUUAGUAAACCGAAAUGAUUCAUCUAUCUAUAUUAUUAAAACUGAAGUACAUUUUGGUAUUGAUGGAAAACAUUGAGAAUUGUUUAAAAAUAUAGAUAACAAAUUAGUUACUUCAUUUUAUUUACAUAUUUAGCCAUUGCAUUUAUAAUAAAUUACGUAUUUCUUUUUUGUAUUUUUUAUUUACAGAUUCUGCCACUACAUUUAAAAUCAAUUUAGUUAAUUAAUUACAAUGGUUGUUGUUUCUUUAUGGUGAAAAUAAAAACACAAACUGAAAUAUAUAGUAUAUAUUAUAUAUAAGAAUUUUAAAUAUAGUAUUAUUUUAUUUAGUUUAGUCAAAUAUAAAAAUUUCGAGAAUUCAAUUUUCAAAAAAACAAAAUAUCAUAAAAUUAAUAAUAAUUCAUAGAAAACUAAUGCAAAAAUUAAAAUUUUAGGUAUGCCUUUUUCAUUUGAAAAUAAAUUAACAAAAGAGAACAACAUGUUAAUAUAUGAACAAUACAAUUACAUCAAAUUGUAUUAAAUUAUAAUAAAAAUAUAAUAUUAUGUACAAAGAAAAAAAUUUAUUAUCAAACAUCUAUAUUAUAAAAUAAUAUUCUCUACUCUAUAUAUGUAAACUACAAAACAUAAAAAAUAUACAUUGAUUUUUUUUUAUAAAACCAACGGUUUAUGAUUUUAUAUUAAACACAAAUUAAAUCAGACAUCCGCGCAGGGCACAAGUAAGUUAUAGUAUCUUAUUACUUGUCGUUGCAUAAUGUUGGAUAUGUGCCCUGAUUAUUGUCCAAUAGCAAUCAAGAAGAAAAGAAAAACGGCCCAGCAAGAGCCCAACCCAUUUCACCAAGGGUCAGUUGGUUUACAUGUUCGUCAGGACGACCUGAACACGCAACUGAGUGUCAGGAAAAAAUGGCGCGGCGCCUAGCAGUACACUUCAAAACUUUUGCCCCCAAAACACUACUUUAUCGUUUGAAUGAAGAUUUCUAGACCUGAUUAUCGAAUCUAGGAUUCAACACUUACGAUAUGUAACAUGAUCAAUUUCACAACAGCAAAACAACUUUGGCUAUUCGUAGAUUAUAGAUCGCAGUUGCAUGUUGCAGAGACGUGCAAUGAAUAGGUUGAUAUGCAUCUGAACGGGUUAGACCCGAUUUGAGCAUCUCCGUGUUUAGAAAGAUACUUAGUCUCUUCGGGCACAUCUGAUAAAAUUAGAUCAUUACAGAAAAGAUUAGCGUGGCCCAUCCGCUAGGAUGACAUGCACAAAUCGAGAAAUUGUCUAAAUUGAAGCCUUUGACUAAAAAACAUACUCAAACCAUCGAACUACUUGCCGUUUUGGUUUUAUCAAACCGCAUGUCAUGUUGUUUUCAGCUUCGCGAAUCAACCAAAGCCGAUAAGCUAUAGUGGGUCAGAGCCUCGAAUCAUCGAGUGGCUAAUAAACCAUCACUGUUUACGAAAUAGUCCAAAACCAUGAGAGGCCACAACUUCGCCGAAGCCCAUUAUCAUCCUUUCAAUGGCUAAAGCCACCACCACUCUGUUUGCUAUCUCCUCUGUUUCGACUCGUUUCUCUCUUCUCCGUCGUUCUAAAUCUCUUAAACCAUCAGCUCCAAGCGCAAGACUCGCCGUGCCAAUGGCUAUGGCCGCCUCUGCUAAAAAGGUGGCUCCUGCUGUGAUCGUGGGUGGGGGAAGAGUCGGAAGGGCGUUGCAGGAAAUGGGUAGUGGCGGUGAUUUGUUGGUGAAGAGAGGAGAAGCAGUCCCGGUUGAUUUCGAAGGACCCAUUUUGGUUUGUACUAGAAAUGAUGAUCUCGAUGCUGUUCUUGAUGCUACUCCUCAGUCUAGAUGGAAAGGUAUAAACUUUCUCUCUACUCUUAAAGAUUCUUGAGUGAAUCAAAUUGCCAGAUGUUUUCUGGGAGAUAAUGAUUAUGUUGUGCUCUGUGUAAAUAAUCAGAUUUGGUGUUCUUCCAAAACGGAAUGAUGGAGCCGUGGUUUGAGAGCAAAGGUUUGGGUGAUGCAGACCAAGUGUUGGCUUAUUUUGCUGUUUCGAAGAUUGGUGAGCCUCCUGUGGAUGGAAUAACUGACACUAACCCAGAAGGGUUAACCGCUGCUUAUGGCAAAUCGGCUUCGGAUGUAGCUGCAAGACUUCAAUCUGGUGGCCUCUCUUGCAAGGUUACGUGAAUCAAAACUUGUUUUUACUCUAUAACAAAAGAAAACAAGACUACUUACGUGUGUCUUUCCGUGGUUAGGUACUUGAGAAAGAAGCUUUUGAGAAGCAAAUGUUGGAGAAACUCAUUUGGAUUUGUGCGUUUAUGCUUGUUGGAGCUCGUCAUCCAGGUGCAAGUGUUGGCAUUGUGGAGAAAGAAUACAGAGACGAAGUACAAAAGUCUCCAUCCCUCUGUUCUUGUUUUAGCAUUCAGAAAAUCGUUGUUCACGUCUAACUUCUAAUUAAUUUAUAAGUUCAGGUGUCGAGACUCAUCCAAGAACUCGCAGCAGCUGCUGCUGCAGAAAAGGGACUAACGUUUGAAGACAACAUGGUGGAGAGACUAUGUGCUUAUUCUCGCGCUGUUGCUCAUUUCCCAACCGCUGUUAAAGAAGUAUACAUAUACAUAUUGAUCUCACCUCUUAAGUCCUUGUGUGGACUAGUAUCUUGUGUCUCAGCUAGUUUUAUUAUUAUUACUGCAGUUUAAAUGGAGGAAUGGUUGGUUUUAUUCGCUCUCCGAGAAGGCGAUUGUAGAAGGGAAACCUGAUCCGUGUCAACUCCACACCCAGUGGCUGAGAGAGCUAAAAGUGAUAUAGAGCCUUGACGGUACGUGACACUUUAGUAGAUAGUCGCAGAUCAUUGAUCUGAAACUUGUUUGAGCUUUGUAC
This 6263-nucleotide long non-coding RNA is filed under the name Brassica napus (rape). Lineage: Eukaryota; Viridiplantae; Streptophyta; Magnoliopsida; Brassicales; Brassicaceae. The record is from RNAcentral.